Molecule: unclassified non-coding RNA, 1132 nt
Filed under: Bombus terrestris (buff-tailed bumblebee)
Lineage: Eukaryota; Metazoa; Arthropoda; Insecta; Hymenoptera; Apidae
Description: misc RNA ENSBTSG00005037515.1
Source: RNAcentral
CCGAUUUCAAGGAACACCUAAAUCAAUGCCAGGAAACUUCCAGCAAGCUGAACGAAAGCCACUUACCCAAAGAACUCAUCUGAAAUGUUUCAAAUGCAAUCAAAUCGGACGUGUCUCCAGUCAAUGUAGAAAUUUUCAAACACCCAGCCAACAUCCGAGACCACCAGCAGUCCACAAUCUCGAGACACGCAACAUAGAAACAGAAACCCACGACGAAACGACGAAAGACCAAGAAAAAUUCCAAGAGUUAACACCACGACAGGCAAACUUCUCGCAAUACGAUUUAACACAAGAACUGGACAUAUAACACACCUCAUCGACACAGGAGCAGGAAUCAACCUAUUGAAGAAAAACAAAGUCAACAUUCCUCUUUGCCGGAAUAAUAUCCGCGCAAAUAAAUAUUACACCAUUAGUAGGAAACUCUGUUAUAUAGAAAACAUAAGAAAAGGUUAUUUGUAUAGCGAUACUUCUAAUAUUAUUGUAGGAUUAGAGACUAGCGACAUAUACGAGCAAAUAAGCACGAUAGAAUUAUAUAAAUCGACAAUGAACUCACGCGCAACCAGUAAAGAAUACGCUGAAGAGUUAGACGGAUUACAAAAUCGUAUCAAUAACCUGAAACAACUCGCAAAAUUCUUGAAAACGUUAAUACACACCCGAAGUAAACGAGGUUUACUCAACAUCAUAGGUUCCGUAUCGAAAAGUCUGUUCUCGACGAUGACGAUCUUACAAUUAUAAACGAAAACAUGGACAAACUAUUCGAUGACAACAAUAAAAUUAAGACUGUAAUAGCACUCAUUAGGAAAAUUGUAAACUCGGAAACCUAAACCACCUAGAGAAAUCAUAUAACGAUGUAUUAAAACAACAACAGCAGGCAAAUAUCGAUAGAUUUAUGCUUAAAAUGAUUAUGAAACUCGACACCGCGAUGCAAACUUUGCACUUUCAGUUAGAUGAGAUACUUAACGUCAUAAUAUUGGGCAAACAGGGAAUAAUUAGCCCACAAAUACUCGACCCCGAUGAAUUUAUAGAAAACUACGUCAAAGCAAUAGGCAACCAGAUGUACAACACCGCGAUAUCUGUCAAAACCAAACAUUUCCAGUUUAUACUCGACAUAAGUGAUCUUAAAAUCUUCACA